CGGCACAGCGGGAAGCCAGGUGGUGACACCGAGCAGAACCGAAAGCCGUUCUCAGUUCGGAUCGGAGUCUGCAACCCGACUCCGUGAAGCUGGAUUCGCUAGUAAUCGCGCAUCAGCCACGGCGCGGUGAAUACGUUCCCGGGCCUUGUACACACCGCCCGUCAAGCCAUGGAAGCCGGGAGUGCCUGAAGUGCGUGACCGCAAGGAGCGUCCUAAGGCAAUACCGGUGACUGGGGCUAAGUCGUAACAAGGUACC
Molecule: ribosomal RNA, 256 nt
Filed under: uncultured bacterium
Lineage: Bacteria
Description: partial 16S ribosomal RNA
Rfam family: Bacterial small subunit ribosomal RNA
Source: RNAcentral